This 253-nucleotide ribosomal RNA is filed under the name uncultured bacterium. RNAcentral describes it as "partial 16S ribosomal RNA". It matches the Rfam family "Bacterial small subunit ribosomal RNA", at positions 524 to 776 of the family's 1533-position model. The record is from RNAcentral.
UACGAAGGGGGCAAGCGUUGUUCGGAAUUACUGGGCGUAAAGGGCGCGUAGGCGGCUUAUCAAGUCAGGCGUGAAAUUCCCGGGCUCAACCUGGGGGCUGCGCUUGAUACUGAUUGGCUUGAAUGCGGGAGAGGAUAGUGGAAUUCCCAGUGUAGAGGUGAAAUUCGUAGAUAUUGGGAAGAACACCAGUGGCGAAGGUGGCUCACUGGACCGGUAUUGACGCUGAGGUGCGAAAGCGUGGGGAGCAAACAGG